AGGGGUCAGCAUGCUGUCGCUGACCUGCGGCAGGAUCAUUA
Molecule: ribosomal RNA, 41 nt
Filed under: uncultured Cenococcum
Lineage: Eukaryota; Fungi; Ascomycota; Dothideomycetes; Gloniales; Gloniaceae
Description: partial 18S ribosomal RNA
Source: RNAcentral